This 463-nucleotide ribosomal RNA is filed under the name uncultured bacterium. RNAcentral's name for it is "bacterial LSU rRNA". It matches the Rfam family "Bacterial large subunit ribosomal RNA", at positions 23 to 465 of the family's 2925-position model. The record is from RNAcentral.
GGUGAAUGCCUUGGCGCCAACAGUCGAUGAAGGACGCGGUAAGCUGCGAUAAGCCUCGGUGAGCUGCAAACAAGCUUUGACCCGGGGAUUUCCGAAUGGGGAAACCCGAUGCGGGUAAUACCGCAUCAUCCUGCACUGAAUACAUAGGUGCAGGAAGGCAACUCAGGGAAGUGAACCAUCUCAGUACCUGAAGGAAUAGAAAACAACAGUGAUUCCGCUAGUAGCGGCGAGCGAACGCGGAACAGCCCAAAACCAGGGGAGCUUGCUCUCUGGGGUUGUAGGGCCUGUCUGGCCGUAAGGCCGGCGAGUUAACAACUGGAUCGUUAGUCGAACCCCUCUGGAAAGUGGGACCACAGAAGGUGACAGUCCUGUAGACGAAAACGACUCCAGCUCGCUGGGCAGGUACCUGAGUACCGCGGGACACGAGAAAUCCCGUGGAACCCGCCGGGACCAUCCGGCAAGG